UAGGGAAUCUUCGGCAAUGGACGGAAGUCUGACCGAGCAACGUCGCGUGAGUGAAGAAGGUUUUCGGAUCGUAAAGCUCUGUUGUAAGAGAAGAACGAGUGUGAGAGUGGAAAGUUCACACUGUGACGGUAUCUUACCAGAAAGGGACGGCUAACUACGUGCCAGUAGCCGCGGUAAUACGUAGGUCCCGAGCGUUGUCCGGAUUUAUUGGGCGUAAAGCGAGCGCAGGCGGUUAGAUAAGUCUGAAGUUAAAGGCUGUGGCUUAACCAUAGUAGGCUUUGGAAACUGUUUAACUUGAGUGCAAGAGGGGAGAGUGGAAUUCCAUGUGUAGCGGUGAAAUGCGUAGAUAUAUGGAGGAACACCGGUGGCGAAAGCGGCUCUCUGGCUUGUAACUGACGCUGAGGCUCGAAAGCGUGGGGAGCAAACAGGAUUAGAUACCCUGGUAGUCCGCGCUGUAAACGAUGAGUGCUAGGUGUUAGACCCUUUCCGGGGUUUAGUGCCGUAGCUAACGCAUUAAGCACUCCGCCUGGGGAGUACGACCGCAAGGUUG
Molecule: ribosomal RNA, 550 nt
Filed under: uncultured bacterium
Lineage: Bacteria
Description: bacterial SSU rRNA
Rfam family: Bacterial small subunit ribosomal RNA
Source: RNAcentral